CAUCGACUCCUCAAACUCGAGAACAUGUGCAUGACUAGGCUAUCCACUCAAGAUUAGGAGAGGUGGGGUAGCUCGAGUCUUCUUUUGAUGAUGAUUAGAGAUGAAAGAAUGUGUCUUCCCCAAACUUUUAUUUUAAUUUGUUAUAAAUAGUUUCAUGUAUUUUUCUUUGGAACAAUUAGGAUAUUAACUCUUGUUAUUAGUAUUGAAUAUUUGAGGAUGGUGAAAUUUUAUUUAUUGAUGUUAUUAAUGAAUGAAAUUUUUAUUUUCCCUUUUAUUCA
This is a long non-coding RNA of Asparagus officinalis (garden asparagus), 278 nucleotides long. RefSeq lists it as uncharacterized. The transcript is spliced from 2 exons. The record is from RefSeq and is a predicted model, not a curated record. Lineage: Eukaryota; Viridiplantae; Streptophyta; Magnoliopsida; Asparagales; Asparagaceae.